CCUACGGGAGGCAGCAGUGAGGAAUAUUGGUCAAUGGACGAGAGUCUGAACCAGCCAAGUAGCGUGAAGGAUGACUGCCCUAUGGGUUGUAAACUUCUUUUAUAUGGGAAUAAAACGUUCCACGUGUGGGAUUUUGUAUGUACCAUAUGAAUAAGGAUCGGCUAACUCCGUGCCAGCAGCCGCGGUAAUACGGAGGAUCCGAGCGUUAUCCGGAUUUAUUGGGUUUAAAGGGUGCGUAGGUGGGUUGUUAAGUCAGUUGUGAAAGUUUGCGGCUCAACCGUAAAAUUGCAGUUGAAACUGGCAGUCUUGAGUACAGUAGAGGUGGGCGGAAUUCGUGGUGUAGCGGUGAAAUGCUUAGAUAUCACGAAGAACUCCGAUUGCGAAGGCAGUUCACUGGACUGCAACUGACACUGAGGCUCGAAAGUGUGGGUAUCAAACAGGAUUAGAUACCCUUGUAGUC
This 460-nucleotide ribosomal RNA is filed under the name uncultured bacterium. Its description in RNAcentral is "partial 16S ribosomal RNA". It matches the Rfam family "Bacterial small subunit ribosomal RNA", at positions 338 to 795 of the family's 1533-position model. The record is from RNAcentral.